Molecule: ribosomal RNA, 779 nt
Filed under: Nocardiopsis coralliicola
Lineage: Bacteria; Bacillati; Actinomycetota; Actinomycetes; Streptosporangiales; Nocardiopsidaceae
Description: bacterial SSU rRNA
Rfam family: Bacterial small subunit ribosomal RNA
Source: RNAcentral
CAGUCGAGCGGUAAGGCCCUUCGGGGUACACGAGCGGCGAACGGGUGAGUAACACGUGAGCAACCUGCCCCUGACUCUGGGAUAAGCGGUGGAAACGCCGUCUAAUACCGGAUACGACCCGCCCCUGCCUGGGGUGCGGGUGGAAAGUUUUUUCGGUUGGGGAUGGGCUCGCGGCCUAUCAGCUUGUUGGUGGGGUAACGGCCUACCAAGGCGAUUACGGGUAGCCGGCCUGAGAGGGCGACCGGCCACACUGGGACUGAGACACGGCCCAGACUCCUGCGGGAGGCAGCAGUGGGGAAUCUUGCGCAAUGGGCGAAAGCCUGACGCAGCGACGCCGCGUGGGGGAUGACGGCCUUCGGGUUGUAAACCUCUUUUACCACUCACGCAGGCCCCGGGUUUUCUCGGGGUUGACGGUAGGUGGGGAAUAAGGACCGGCUAACUACGUGCCAGCAGCCGCGGUAAUACGUAGGGUCCGAGCGUUGUCCGGAAUUAUUGGGCGUAAAGAGCUCGUAGGCGGUGUGUCGCGUCUGCUGUGAAAGACCGGGGCUUAACUCCGGUUUUGCAGUGGAUACGGGCAUGCUAGAGGUAGGUAGGGGAGACUGGAAUUCCUGGUGUAGCGGUGAAAUGCGCAGAUAUCAGGAGGAACACCGGUGGCGAAGGCGGGUCUCUGGGCCUUACCUGACGCUGAGGAGCGAAAGCGUGGGGAGCGAACAGGAUUAGAUACCCUGGUAGUCCACGCCGUAAACGUUGGGCGCUAGGUGUGGGGGCUUUCCACGGUU